RNAcentral lists this unclassified non-coding RNA (433 nucleotides) under soil metagenome. RNAcentral describes it as "partial contains 5.8S ribosomal RNA, internal transcribed spacer 2, and large subunit ribosomal RNA". The stretch from base 1 to 120 matches the Rfam family "5.8S ribosomal RNA", at positions 35 to 154 of the family's 154-position model. The record is from RNAcentral.
GAUGAAGAACGCAGCGAAAUGCGAUACGUAAUGUGAAUUGCAGAAUUCAGUGAAUCAUCGAAUCUUUGAACGCAUAUUGCGCUCUCUGGUAUUCCGGAGAGCAUGCUUGUUUGAGUAUCAGUAAACACCUCAACUCCCUUUUCUUUUUUGAAAUGGGAGCUGGACUUGAGUGAUCCCAACACUUUUCUCACUGGAAAGUGGCGGGUCACUUGAAAUGCAGGUGCAGCUGGACUUUUCUCUGAGCUAUAAGCAUAUCUAUUUAGUCUGCCUAAAAAACAGAUUAUUACCUUUUCGGCAGCUAACAUAAAGGAGAUGAGUUCUUGUGCUGACUGAUGCAGGAUUCACAGAGACAGCUUUGCGGCUGACUUUGUAAACUCGAUCUCAAAUCAAGUAAGACUACCCGCUGAACUUAAGCAUAUCAAUAAGCGGAGGA